Molecule: ribosomal RNA, 618 nt
Filed under: uncultured bacterium
Lineage: Bacteria
Description: bacterial SSU rRNA
Rfam family: Bacterial small subunit ribosomal RNA
Source: RNAcentral
CCUACGGGAGGCAGCAGUGGGGAAUUUUGGACAAUGGACGCAAGUCUGAUCCAGCCAUGCCGCGUGCGGGAAGAAGGCCUUCGGGUUGUAAACCGCUUUUGUCAGGGAGGAAACGGGUUUCUCUAAUACAGAGACCUAAUGACGGUACCUGAAGAAUAAGCACCGGCUAACUACGUGCCAGCAGCCGCGGUAAUACGUAGGGUGCAAGCGUUAAUCGGAAUUACUGGGCGUAAAGCGUGCGCAGGCGGUUAUGCAAGACAGAGGUGAAAUCCCCGGGCUCAACCUGGGAACUGCCUUUGUGACUGCAUAGCUAGAGUACGGUAGAGGGGGAUGGAAUUCCGCGUGUAGCAGUGAAAUGCGUAGAUAUGCGGAGGAACACCGAUGGCGAAGGCAAUCCCCUGGACCUGUACUGACGCUCAUGCACGAAAGCGUGGGGAGCAAACAGGAUUAGAUACCCUGGUAGUCCACGCCCUAAACGAUGUCAACUGGUUGUUGGGAGGGUUUCUUCUCAGUAACGAAGCUAACGCGUGAAGUUGACCGCCUGGGGAGUACGGCCGCAAGGUUGAAACUCAAAUGAAAUUGACCGGNUGAGAGNGCGAGACGACGACGAGGAGGAGG